This 303-nucleotide ribosomal RNA is filed under the name uncultured bacterium. RNAcentral describes it as "partial 16S ribosomal RNA". It matches the Rfam family "Bacterial small subunit ribosomal RNA", at positions 507 to 809 of the family's 1533-position model. The record is from RNAcentral.
AGCAGUAGCCGCGGGAACACAGAGGGUGCGAGCGUUAAUCGGAUUUACUGGGCGUAAAGCGUGCGUAGGCGGCUUUUUAAGUCGGAUGUGAAAUCCCUGAGCUUAACUUAGGAAUUGCAUUCGAUACUGGGAAGCUAGAGUAUGGGAGAGGAUGGUAGAAUUCCAGGUGUAGCGGUGAAAUGCGUAGAGAUCUGGAGGAAUACCGAUGGCGAAGGCAGCCAUCUGGCCUAAUACUGACGCUGAGGUACGAAAGCAUGGGGAGCAAACAGGAUUAGAUACCCCUGUAGUCCCUGUCUCUUAUAA